UACAGAGGGUGCGAGCGUUGUUCGGAAUUACUGGGCGUAAAGGGCGCGUAGGCGGCCUGCUAAGUCGAACGUGAAAUCCCUGGGCUCAACCCAGGAACUGCGUCCGAUACUGGUUGGCUUGAAUCCGGGAGAGGGACGUGGAAUUCCAGGUGUAGCGGUGAAAUGCGUAGAUAUCUGGAGGAACACCGGUGGCGAAGGCGACGUCCUGGACCGGCAUUGACGCUGAGGCGCGAAAGCCAGGGGAGCAAACGGG
Molecule: ribosomal RNA, 253 nt
Filed under: uncultured bacterium
Lineage: Bacteria
Description: partial 16S ribosomal RNA
Rfam family: Bacterial small subunit ribosomal RNA
Source: RNAcentral